This 76-nucleotide transfer RNA is filed under the name Candidatus Omnitrophica bacterium CG11_big_fil_rev_8_21_14_0_20_64_10. RNAcentral's name for it is "tRNA-Lys". It matches the Rfam family "tRNA". From Rfam's summary of the family: Transfer RNA (tRNA) molecules are approximately 80 nucleotides in length. Their secondary structure includes four short double-helical elements and three loops (D, anti-codon, and T loops). Further hydrogen bonds mediate the characteristic L-shaped molecular structure. tRNAs have two regions of fundamental functional importance: the anti-codon, which is responsible for specific mRNA codon recognition, and the 3' end, to which the tRNAs corresponding amino acid is attached (by aminoacyl-tRNA synthetases). tRNAs cope with the degeneracy of the genetic code in two manners: having more than one tRNA (with a specific anti-codon) for a particular amino acid; and 'wobble' base-pairing, i.e. permitting non-standard base-pairing at the 3rd anti-codon position. The record is from RNAcentral. Lineage: Bacteria; Pseudomonadati; Candidatus Omnitrophota.
GGGCCGUUAGCUCAGUUGGUAGAGCAGCUGACUCUUAAUCAGCGGGUCGAAGGUUCGAGCCCUUCACGGCCCACGA